CAACUGUUGGCUCUCUUCACCCUGUUCUUGCUCUUCAGAAAUUCACCACGUCUUGCCAAGGCUCCUGUGGGAAGUUACCAAGUGCUACGACUCGCUCGUGUCACUCAGAGUUUGGAGAGCAGCACCAAGAAAUGGAAAACCCAGCACUUCCUCCUCCUUUAAAAAUAUCCUAUGGAGGGACCCACGAGGGAAAAUGCUGAGCUAUAAAAGCGCUCUGAAAAUCUCUCAUCUUGGCAGAGAGUGCUGCUCUGCUCUUUGCUACCAAAGGGAAUUCAGCACCUUGAACGCCUGGUCAUGGGGACAAUCAACAGACUUGCUCCUGGCCAGCUGAAAUUGCAUCUGUGCCAGUGGUCCCAAAGGCUGCUGUUCUUCAGCAGCUCUCAGUGCCUCCCCCUUCCCGAGGCCAAUGCCACGUGCCCUGAGCUACCAGCACUUUGUCCUCCACUGUCACUUUGCAGCCACCCUGCAUGAACCAAAGGGCUGCAUUGCCACCCAAGGAGCCUGAAGCCCUAUUGGAGAAGGAGCGUUGUGCAGUGCCUGUGUGCGAGCAGGAUGGCUGUCUUCGGGUGACACCACUUGGCUCUCCAGCUACAAAGCAUUACUGUUAUUCCUGGCAGAAAAGGGGAAAAGAUGCAAGCUGUGGAGUCUGUGACUGCAGAAGGGAAGAAGCUGUCGGAUCCCAUCUGUCGACCGGGAGGAUGAACGACCGCACGCAUCUCUGCUCUGCGCCAGCUCCCAGCCCGACUUCCAGGGGCUCAGCAUCUUCUUGGGCAACCCCAAUGGGCUGCAGUGGGGCCAGAGCCUCCCUGCAAGGUCCUUCCCAUGCCAGCCCCAGAGCGGUGGGAGUUGCUGGGUGUUGGGCCCAAAGGAGAGGGUCACACACCAUACCUCCCAGAUACAGGGCAGCUCCUGGGGUCCCGCAGUGCUAUUGGAGACAAAGGGAAGUGAAGCUAAAGAGCAGCACAGAGCAACAGCGGCUUGGAUGACACGGGUCAGUACUUCAGCACACGCAAGGCUGGUUUUUGAUGGUUUGGGAUUAAGAGCCUGCAAAUCGCAGCAUUCCACCAAGGCUGUCUCACUGGAAAAGAGCUGAGGUCAAGACCAGGAGGGACCCAGAGGUCAAAGUGCUGCCAAGAAAAAGGGCUAAACAAAGCCCAGGAUUUCUGCAGUCAAAAGCCCAGGCAUCUAAAGGCAGCAUUAAACUUGAAAUGAGAAACUGGAAAUCCUCUUUUGAUAUAUUCCUUCCCUUACUUUAAACAAGCUUUUCUUACUCACUGCACAGAUAAUGUGUGGACUUUGGACUUUCUUUUUGUAAUGUAUAAUGGAAAUUUAACGCAUCUGUGAGGAACCUGGGACUGUUUUAUAUCGCAUCCAUGGUGUUUUGGGGCCCUCCUGCAACUCAGAAUACAACAUCAAUGGCAAAGUGGGACUUUGUGUUCAAGAGAGGUGGACAUAACCUUCCCCAUCCCCAUGUCUACGUACUUGUAGGCAGCUAGAGGUGAAUACCCUGAAAUAAGAGGAGCCACAGCUCGCUUCCCCUUGUGCUAACACUAUCUCAGUCUGGUCUGCAGUGCUUUCCCACUGAUACAAGGACAACUUUAGUGCUGCUGGUGUCUCCAGGACAUCCCAAGAACCAGGAGGUGUUUUUUAAUGGGGAUUUGCCCUGAAGUACAGCCAAAAUCCUUUUUCUCACGGAUCAAACAGAUUCACGCAAUAGCUGCAGAAGGAGUUUGGACUCCAGGAGAUGACAAUACAGCACCCUGCGUGCAUUGCCAUGGAGUCCCACUCCUGGUUUCUGGAUGGCCGGACUACAACUGGCUCAGCCCAGUGCCAACUUAGAUGACAGUGAGGCAGAUCUGCAACUUUGUGAACGCAGCAAUUAGCCCCUGAGCCCGGGGAGAGUUUGUCAAGAUCCCAUCACAGGCAAACAAUAACACAGAAAUACAGCUUUGAGGGGGAGACAAUUUAUCAAGCUGACCACAGCUAUCUCCCUCAUUUUUUCUUCAAUAAAUCCAGCCUCGCUCUUGGCAGUGUACAGUAUCUUGUCAUUGCUUUCG
This is a long non-coding RNA of Gallus gallus (chicken), 2057 nucleotides long. NCBI's taxonomy places the organism in Eukaryota, Metazoa, Chordata, Aves, Galliformes, Phasianidae. The record is from Ensembl.